CAAUAGCGUAUAUUAAAGUUGUUGCGGUUAAAAAGCUCGUAGUUGGAUUUCUGCCGAGGACGACCGGUCCGCCCUCUGGGUGAGUAUCUGGCUCGGCCUGGGCAUCUUCUUGGAGAACGUAGCUGCACUUGGCUGUGUGGUGCGGUAUUCAGGACUUUUACUUUGAGGAAAUUAGAGUGUUUCAAGCAGGCACACGCCUUGAAUACAUUAGCAUGGAAUAAUAAGAUAGGACCUCGGUUCUAUUUUGUUGGUUUCUAGAUCUGAGGUAAUGAUUAAUAGGGAUAGUUGGGGGCAUUCGUAUUUAACUGUCAGAGGUGAAAUUCUUGGAUUUGUUAAAGACGGACUACUGCGAANGNAUUUGGNAAGGAUGUUUNCAUUG
Molecule: ribosomal RNA, 379 nt
Filed under: uncultured eukaryote
Lineage: Eukaryota
Description: partial 18S ribosomal RNA
Rfam family: Eukaryotic small subunit ribosomal RNA
Source: RNAcentral